GCCUGGGUGGCUCAGUCGGUUAAGUGUCUGACUUUGGCUCAGGUCAGGAUCGUGGGUUUGAGCCUCGCUUCGGGCU
Molecule: transfer RNA, 76 nt
Filed under: Felis catus (domestic cat)
Lineage: Eukaryota; Metazoa; Chordata; Mammalia; Carnivora; Felidae
Rfam family: tRNA
About the family: Transfer RNA (tRNA) molecules are approximately 80 nucleotides in length. Their secondary structure includes four short double-helical elements and three loops (D, anti-codon, and T loops).
Source: Rfam by way of RNAcentral